This 25-nucleotide transfer RNA is filed under the name Aporrectodea longa. RNAcentral's name for it is "partial tRNA-Asn". The record is from RNAcentral. Lineage: Eukaryota; Metazoa; Annelida; Clitellata; Crassiclitellata; Lumbricidae.
CCCAUGCUAUUAAUAGCUCACUUAG